AUGACACAGUAGGAUAAGCUAAGCACACUGUUGGUUAUGUGUGCCCAAGCAUUGAGGCAGUCAAAGUAGGCAAAUCCGCUUUGAUAAUGCUGGGAUGUGAUGGGGAGCGAAAUUUAGUAGCGAAGUAGCUGAUUUCACACUGUCAAGAAAAGUCUCUAUCGAGGUUAAAGGUACCCGUACCGCAAACCGACACAGGUGGGUGAGGAGAGUAUCCUAAGGCCAGCGAGAGAACUGUUGUUAAGGAACUCGGCAAAAUGACCCCGUAACUUAGGGAUAAGGGGUGCCACCAUCAGGUGGCCGCAGAGAAUAGGCCCAAGCGACUGUUUACCAAAAACAUAGGUUUCUGCUAAGUCGCAAGACGAUGUAUAGGAGCUGACGCCUGCCCGGUGCUGGAAGGUUAAGGGGAUCUGUUAGAGCAAUCGAAGCAGUGAACUUAAGCCCCAGUAAACGGCGGCCGUAACUAUAACGGUCCUAAGGUAGCGAAAUUCCUUGUCGGGUAAGUUCCGACCCGCACGAAAGGCGUAACGAUUUGGGCACUGUCUCAACAACAGACUCGGUGAAAUUGUAAUUCCGGUGAAGAUGCCGGAUACCUGCGACAGGACGGAAAGACCCCAUGGAGCUUUACUGUAGCUUGACAUUGGGUCUUGGUACUACAUGUACAGGAUAGGUGGGAGGCUUUGAAACCAGGACGCCAGUUUUGGCGGAGCCAUCCUUGGGAUACCACCCUUGUA
RNAcentral lists this ribosomal RNA (731 nucleotides) under Clostridioides difficile. RNAcentral's name for it is "partial 23S ribosomal RNA". It matches the Rfam family "Bacterial large subunit ribosomal RNA", at positions 1469 to 2210 of the family's 2925-position model. The record is from RNAcentral. Lineage: Bacteria; Bacillati; Bacillota; Clostridia; Peptostreptococcales; Peptostreptococcaceae.